UCUUUAUACCACCCUGAAUGCACCCAAACUCAUCUGAUCUCAGAAGAUAAGCAGGGUUAGGCCUGGUUAAUACUUGGAUGGGAGAAAAAUCUUCAGAGUACACUGCUCAGAGAC
This 114-nucleotide ribosomal RNA is filed under the name Castor canadensis (American beaver). The record is from RNAcentral. Lineage: Eukaryota; Metazoa; Chordata; Mammalia; Rodentia; Castoridae.